Molecule: long non-coding RNA, 299 nt
Organism: Trematomus bernacchii (emerald rockcod)
Lineage: Eukaryota; Metazoa; Chordata; Actinopteri; Perciformes; Nototheniidae
Exons: 4
Source: RefSeq, a predicted model, not a curated record
GUGAACUUGUUCAGCUGAUAAGGCUGGUUAUGAAACAGAGAAGGGGGGGGGGGGGCUGCAGACAGGAAGGGAGGGAAGUUGAAAGUGAAAGUAUGAAGUCAGACUUGUCAGAGUGCCAAACGCCAUUUUACAGCUCGACGGAGCAGGAGGACAACAGGCAGGGGGAGACACCUCAUAAUGAACACGUGGUGAUCAGAGAUCUGACCCUAACAUACCAGCAGACACUGACUCUGAUUACAUCAACGCCAGCUUCAUCAAGACUGGAGAAGAUGAGUGGUUUUAAAGAUGAGGAAGAGGAC